GACGAACGCUGGCGGCGUGCUUAACACAUGCAAGUCGAACGGAAAGGCCCUGCUUUUGUGGGGUGCUCGAGUGGCGAACGGGUGAGUAACACGUGAGUAACCUGCCAUUGACUUUGGGAUAACUUCAGGAAACUGGGGCUAAUACCGGAUAGGAGCUCCUGCUGCAUGGUGGGGGUUGGAAAGUUUCGGCGGUUGGGGAUGGACUCGCGGCUUAUCAGCUUGAUGGUGGGGUAGUGGCUUACCAAGGCUUUGACGGGUAGCCGGCCUGAGAGGGUGACCGGCCACAUUGGGACUGAGAUACGGCCCAGACUCCUACGGGAGGCAGCGGUGGGGAAUAUUGCACAAUGGGCGGAAGCCUAAUGCAGCAACGCCGCGUGCGGGAUGACGGCCUUCGGGUUGUAAACCGCUUUCGCCUGUGACGAAGCGUGAGUGACGGUAAUGGGUAAAGAAGCACCGGCUAACUACGUG
This 468-nucleotide ribosomal RNA is filed under the name uncultured bacterium. RNAcentral describes it as "partial 16S ribosomal RNA". It matches the Rfam family "Bacterial small subunit ribosomal RNA", at positions 28 to 507 of the family's 1533-position model. The record is from RNAcentral.